GAAAAUUGUCAACCACUCCUUCCUUAGGGGGUAAAAGCAACAUUCAGCACCGGGGGCAGGUCAAGGCAAGGCUGGCUCCCGUCUCCAGGCCCCAAGGAGCCACACCUGGACCAGACCCCAGGAAAGCCAAAGAUGGAGACUAUGGUACACUCUUCACAGCCAAGGGCAGGGGACAGAGGAGAGGCGGUGCCCAGGCAGGAUGCAACUAUCUCCAAGAGAUAGUUAGAGGAUGGCAGCCUAUCUUGAGUUCUGGCUGCUCUGCCCAGGAGGUCCCUUUGAAUGGCCAGAGAUGGUCUCCAAUGCUGUUGGCCUCCUGCAGAAGAAAGAGCCCAAGGCUGGGAAUGGAAACCCUUGGUUCUAUUCCUGGCUGUGCCCUAACUCUUCAUAUGACCUUCAACGCGACCUUGAACAUGCAGCUUCCUCUGGCCUCAGUGUGUCCAGCGAGAGGCUAGACCCGGCCAGGCCUGGUGGCUCACUCCUAUAAUCCCAGCACUUUGGGAGGCCAAGGCAGGCGGAUCAUGAGGCAAGGGCGCUAGCUGGUGGGAGCCACCCCGCCAUGCUGAUGUCAGAGAAGCAAGAACUCUGGAGAAGCAGCCUCCUGGGACCAGAGGAGGGCCAGCAGCAGGCAGCCCGGAGACAGAACUAAUGUGUCUGGGGGUGAGAGGACGGGUGUGACUGCUGAAACUUCCUUUCUUGGUGAUUCCACAUCACUCCUUUCUGAUCCCUGAGCCUGUGCCACGCCCUGUGUGAUGUGCCGGGGACACCAGGCUCACCCACGCCUCUCCAAGCCUCCCAACAGAAGACAGAGGUCCCCCACAGCCAGAGACAUUUCCUGAAGACAUGGGGAACACAGAGGCAGAAACAGCCCAUCCACCCAGGAGCUGUCCCCCACACUGCCGGGAGCCGGCACCCAGAGCCGCCAGGUAAAACUGAGGCCACCUGGUUCAACAUCACCUUUCACAGAAGGGGAAGCAGCCACAGAAAGAAGGGCCUCGUUAAGAAGUGGAACCUGGGACCCCCAAGCGGUGUCUCUCAUCCUGACUGGGGAUCCAGAGUAGGAGGGAGCCUUUGGUGGGACACAAAGGAACAGAACGAGGCACCAACAGCAAGGGGCAAGCAGAUUCAAGGGCCACAGAGGAGAUGGAGGCAAACACCUUCCCCUGGUCAGAGGCUGUGCCUCAGCCCUUCUCCCUGCAUCAGUUUCUCCUUCAGAAGCAUGGGACUACCUCCCAUCUAGUUCUCGUUUCUAAACCUAGGGGAGAUGCUAUCUUUGCUGCAAUAAUCUUAGCCUACAUCUUGGAAUGGAAAUGGCCUUGGUGGAAAUGGUCUUCAACUCCUCUGGUCCAAGCUCAGGCCCUGUGACCCUGGAACAAUCCCCUUCCUGGUCCUCCAUGUAGGAGCAAUAACAUUCCCUUGCCAGCAGCACCAGCCAUUCUGAUGAUUAAAUGGUAUCGGACUCUGUUUUCCAAACUCAGUCAUUCAGAUGCCCCCUAUUUUAUUUCUUCCAUGUCUGCAAAUGAUUAUAAUAUUUUUAAAUGUAGGAUGAGUCCUUUUUAUUACACAUAGAAAUAGCUACUGUAAAUAGCAAACUCUAACACUGUGCCUAAUUAGGAAAUAAAGGUAACCAUAAAUACAGUAAAAAUGAAACAAUGUUAUUAUGGUUUAACCUGAUAGUGUGGCUUGCAAGGCCCUGGGCCUGAAGCCUGGGCAAUAAGUGAGAGUUAGAAAGGUGUCAAAGACAUGAUAGCAGCAAACUGAGGCUUUGUACCCCACGGUAAAUAGGACUGAAAGCAAAUUCACAGGGAGCAACUGAUCCAUUCCACAACAGAAUGCUCCCUGUCAAUUCGCUUUCCAUUCUGUUGUGUCCUGUCUCCCAGCAGAGACUACAAACUCCCCAAAACCACUUACCCACCAGCUGCACGUGAGAAGCCAAAGGUAGUUUAUGUGAAAGGGCUUUGGAAAUAAUCACGCACCAAGUGAAGGCAGAGGACACACCUUGUCAGCUUAGUUCUCAGCAGCAAAUCAUCUCUUUUCCAGGAUAACCCUCCCUGAUUCUUAUUGAAAUCUCUUUGCUGACCACACUAAGCUCUUCUCUCUCAGGGGCAGUGGGAGCCGUGGAGAGUGGAAUAGACCAGCUGUCUGUGACCUGCGAGGGAGUCCAAUGUCGGAAUCACUCCCCAGCCAAAUGCACGGUUUUAAAAAAUCUAUUUAUUUAUUUAUGUAGAGACCAGGCUAUGAGACUGGCUAAUUUUUCGUAUUUUUGGAUAGAGACAGGAUUUCAUCGUGUUGCCCAGGCUGGUCUUGAACUCCUGGGCUCAAGCGAUCCACCUGCCUCGGCUUCCCAAAGUGCUCAGGAUUACAGGCGUGAGCCACUUCCCAGCUACUUGGGAGGCUGGGGCAUGAGAAUUGCUUUAACCCGGAAGGUGGAGUUUGCAGUGAGCCGAGAUCGUGUCACUGCACUCCAGCCUGGGCGACAGAGGGAGACUCUGUCUCAAAAAAAAAAAAAAGUCAAGGAGGGUUUCCCAGAGUGGCCACUUGAUUAGAGACCUAGCACAGGAGGAAGAGAUGGGCAGGGAGAGUGACGGGGAGCAGCACAGUCCCUGGGAGCCCGAAGUGGGUGGGCACAGGGCUCCCUAGGAGAAUGGAAGGACAUCUAUGAGCUGUAGCCCAAGAGGAAGAGGUCACUGGGGCUAGAUGCGGCAGACCCUCGCAGGCUUUGGGAAGGGCUUCAGAAUUCAGCCUGAGGGCAAUGGGGAGCCCUUUUGGGAUAUUAAACUUGAGUAAGAUAUGAGCAUAUUUGCAUCUUGAAAAAUCAUUAUGGGAAGAUGGCUGGGAAGAGAGGAGGAGUGGCAGAAGAAAGAUAGGUUGGAGACAAUUGAUUGCUCGAUGAUAUAAAAUGUUAAGUACCAUGAAUGAUGCUGUUAGGCUGGAAUGCGCCAAGCAUAAAGGUGGGGCAUGGCAUCAAAAGGUAGGUCAACAUAUUAAAUAAUUCCAUGUAUUGAAAUAUCCAGAAAAUAUAUAGACAGAUCUAUAGAGAUAGAAACUGGUCUGCCCAGGACUAGGGGUUGUCUAAGGAUAAGGAGCUUCUUUUUUGGAUGGUGAAAUAACCUAAAAUAUAUUGUGCCAUUGUUUGCACAACUUUGUGAAUAUAUUAAAAACCUGUUAAUUGUACUCACUAAAUGUCCUCCUUCUAAAUUAAGCUGUUCUUGACAAGAAAAGGAAAGAAACAAAGAAAAGAAGAGAAAAAAGGUCAAGGUUUGGUCCUGGGUGCUCAAAUGGCAGGCCACAGACAGGAAACACAGUUGUGAGGAAUUACAACAGCCUCCCGGCCAGAGCUGGAGAGGUGGAGCCCAGGUCCCCUCUAACACCCCUUCUCCUGGCCAGGUUGGAGUCCCGCCACAGGCCACCAGAGCGGAGCAGCGCAGCGCCCUGUCUCCCAGCCUGAGGUGCAGUGCUGCAUCUCUGGUCAGUUGGGAGUCUGAGAUGAAGCACUGUAGCUCAGGAAGAGAGAAGUUGUUCUGCAGCCAUCAGCCUGGAAGUGGUAAGUGCUGGGGGGUUGUGGGGGGCCAUAACAGGAAGGACAGAGUGUUUCCAGACUCCAUACUAUCAGCCACUUGUGAUGCUGGGGAAGUUCCUCUACACAAGUUCCCCUGGUGCCACGAUCUGCUUCACGAGUCUGGGCAUGUCCUGACUCCUCUGUGUACCCCAGUGUGUCCAUCUUAGCAUGAGGCGUUAGCAUUUCCCCAGCACCCUGCCUCUGCUUUCUCUUUCUGAGCCCAUGGCAGACACAGCUAAUCAGUAAAGGCAUAUAUUCUUUUUUUUUUGAGACACAGUCUCACUCCAUCACCCAGGCUGGAGUGCAGUGGCAUAAUCUCAGCUCACUGCAACCUCCUCCUCCCAGGGUCAAGCAAUUCUCGUGCCUCAGCCUCCCAAGUAGCUGAGAUUACAGGUGUGCGCCACCACACCUGGCUAAUUUUUGUAUUUUUAGUAGAGAUGGGGUUUCACUAUGUUGGCCAGGCUGGUCUCAAACUCCUGACUUCAGGUGAUCUGCCCGCCUCGGCCUCCCAAAGUGCUGGGAUUACAGGCAUGAGCCUCCACGCCCCGCCAGGCAUCCAUUCUUGAAGUGCUCAGAUGCAGCUUCAGAAUCCUCAACAAUGAGCCCUGGAAAGCCACUAGUACUGAUUCACAGCUGAAACUCAUUCAUCAUUUGUGGAUCAAACAAUUCCUAAAAACCCUUUCAGCCCUGAAGAUAAAAAUUCUGGCCUUUGAGUCAGGGUCUUCACUCUGUACUUCUAACCUUGGCUCCGGGGUAUUGCCGAAACCAGUCCAGGCACGUCACAAAUGUCUGACUUCUCCCAGAGGCUUCAGAAGCACAAUGAGCAGCAGAGGAGAGCCAUGGAGCCAAGCACAGUCUCAUUUAACCUCCCCAAAAGCUUGGGAAGUGGGUGGUGUUAUAGCCCCAUUUUACAGAUGAGAAAAACUGAGGCUUAUUUAAGCAGCUCACCUAAAGUCACAUAUUGAUUGUGCUGAGCUGAGAUUGUACCCUAAUCUGCCUUCAAAUCCAUGUUUUUACCCAUUGCAUGUGAUUAUGGAACCUGGGACCGAGGAGCAGGAGGAGAACAUUCUAAAUUCUGCUCCCAUCUUGUCUUUACAUCUCAGGUCACUUUUAGCAAAGACAGACCCGGACACUUGCCAUUAAUACUACAGGCUUCCUUCCUCCUACCCCCUUCCCCCAAUCUUAUUCAUCUCACCUCUCCAGUAGGUCGUGGACUCAUGCAUUUUAUAAUUAAAGAAGGCCAAGGCUCAGGGGUUAAGUGACUUACUGGAGGUUAUCAGAGAGGAAGUUGCCAAACCCAGGCUAGGAACUGAAUGGUUGGUUUAAAUCCACCCCUCUGGCAGGAGACUGGGGAAUACACAUGAGCCGUGCAGACAGCAGAGGGCAGUCCUGGGGGUGGGGGCGCCAGAGGGUUUCCGGUACUUUUCAGGGCAAUUGAAGUUCCGGUCACUACUCCCCCCCAGAGCAAUAAGCCACAUCCGGCGACGUGUGGCACCCCACCCUGGCUGCUACAGAUGGGGCUGGAUGCAGAAGAGAACUCCAGCUGGUCCUUAGGGACACGGCGGCCUUGGCGCUGAAGGCCACUCGCUCCCACCUUGUCCUCACGGUCCAGUUUUCCCAGGAAUCCCUUAGAUGCUAAGAUGGGGAUUCCUGGAAAUACUGUUCUUGAGGUCAUGGUUUCACAGCUGGAUUUGCCUCCUUCCCACCCCACAGUUGCCCCCCAAUGGGGCCUCGGCUGGCUCACAGGAUGAGGGUUCAAGAAGAAGGCUGUCCCUGGAGGUAAGAGGGCUUAUGAACCAUGUUCCAAACCUUUGCGUUGCUUUUCUUUCCAUCGUGUCUAUUUCAUAACAUCCCUGUGAGGCUGGAUGUGGGAACUUCAGCACUGCCGUACUCUUGGGAAAUUUGUCCAAGGCCACCCGGCUGAGCAGCGGUUGAACCAGGACACCAUCAGGCAUGCGUUUCUUGUCUCCACCACACCCUCAACCCACUUCCCAACGCGCCUUGCGACAGGGGCUGCGGUAUUGCAUCCACAUGACUGAUAAACUAGUAAACACACAUGAAUUCAUUUUAAAAGUGUAUUCAAUCAGUUAGGUAAACUAAAAACCUUAAGUCUUCGUUCGAUUUGGAAUGCAGCCAGAGAACAAAUGGAAAAUUUUUCAAGGUAGAGAAGAUGAAAACUCAGAACGCCCUCUUGUGGCAUCUCUACCCACCCUAGGAACACUAUGGCUCUUCCCCUACACAUGGUGAUUGCUAACCUUGCUACAAGACGUUGGACACACACACACACACACACACACACACACACACACUGAGGUUCCUUUUGCCCCCUCACUUUUGAGCCAGUGACUACUGAAACCCUCUCCAUUGUUGCACCACCAGCAAUGCCCCCAUCACUUCCUCUCAUUUACUUCCACAGGCUGGUUCAUCCUCAAAGCCCUCCUUACGUAGAUCUGUGGGAUCAGUGAGGCUCAGAGAGGUAAAGUGGCCAGCCCAAGGUCGCCCAGACAGCAAAAGGCAGGGCCAGCGCUGAUUUCAAGUCCAAUGGCCUAUGGCAAUUUCUUAGCCAAAAGCAAAAUCUACAAAAAUAAAAAGUCAGGCACAGUGGUGAGUGCCUACAGUCCCAGCUACUGAGGAGGCCGACGGGGGAGGACCACUUGAGCUUGGGAGUUCCUGGCUGCAGAGAGCUAUGAUUGUGCCUGUGAAUAGCCAAUGCACUCCAGCCUGAGCAAGAUAGGGAGACCCUGUCUCUAAAAAAUACCUAAAUAAUUUUAAAAGUCAGCCUCUCUGACUGCCUAUAGAGAAUGCUAACUAACUGAAUGACAGAAGACCUAAUGUAAUCCAGGUGCAAAAUCAGAACUUUCCGGCCGGGCGCGGUGGCUCACACCUGUAAUCCCAACACUUUGGGAGGCCCAGGCGGGUGGAUCACGAGGUCAGGAGUUCAAGACCGGCCUGCCCAACAUGGCAAAACCCCGUCUCUACUAAAAAUACAAAAAAUUAGCUGGGCAUGGUGGUGGCCACCUAUAAUCUCAGCUACUCAGGAGGCUGAGGCAGGAGAAUUGCUUGGACCCGGGAGGCAGAGGUUGCAGUGAGCUGAGAUCGCGCCACUGCACUCCAGCGUGGGGGACAAAAGCGAAACUCUGUCUCAAAAAAAAAAAAAUUAGAACUUUCCCCGUACUCUUGCUAGGGCUUUUCAUGGAGAUGUAGAAAUGGUAGUAAGUGCCAAGGCCCCAGAACCCUCAUGUUUGGGUCCGACUCCCACAUUGCCAGAGACUAGGCAGCUCACACAGGUGUCCCAAGCUGUCUUUCUCACAGGCCGCAUUGAAGGCAUUUAUGAAAUGAGACCCCCUCUUCCUCAUCCGUAGUGACAGGGCUGGCCUGACCGUGGAGAAAUCAGAUUUGAUCAUGAUAGCUUCCACUCCGUGACUGGUCACGAUCUGCCAGGCGCUGUGCUAAACACUUUCAUAGGCCUUGUCCCCCUCCAUCCUGAUAACACCCCAGUGAAGCAGGCCCUGCUCUUCACUCCACUCCACAAAGCCAAGGCUGAGAGAGGUUAACAGACUUACCUAAGGUCACACAGCUAAGAAGUCGUGAAGCUGGGAUCGAAUCAAGUCUGUGUUUAUGGGUUUAACUAUCAUGUUGUGGCCCCAACCCCAUUUGACCUAGCCUGGCUGGUGGGCCUUCUUGCAGUAGCUUCCCCUGGAGAAGAGGAAAAGCAAACCUUCAUUGAGACCCAAGCGGUCUCUCCUGUGCUCUGUGACAAUAAUAAAGUUCCAGCCCUUGGCUCCUGU
RNAcentral lists this long non-coding RNA (7344 nucleotides) under Homo sapiens (human). Its description in RNAcentral is "PREDICTED lncRNA (TCONS_00214855)". The stretch from base 5149 to 5234 matches the Rfam family "mir-145 microRNA precursor family". Lineage: Eukaryota; Metazoa; Chordata; Mammalia; Primates; Hominidae. The record is from RNAcentral.